This 1321-nucleotide long non-coding RNA is filed under the name Gopherus agassizii (Agassiz's desert tortoise). RNAcentral's name for it is "lncRNA (ENSGAGG00000025829.1)". The record is from RNAcentral. Lineage: Eukaryota; Metazoa; Chordata; Testudines; Testudinidae.
UUGUAAAACCACCUCUGAUUGGUCCGAUCCAAAGGCGGAGAUAACAAGCCUGAGAGGGUUUGAACCAGGAAAGCUGCCUCAUUCUACAGAAAGACGGGCAAAGGUAACAAUUCUCUCUCUUUCUCUUUAAUCCUAGCCUGUGCUCUCUAUCUUUGCUCUUUGCAAAGUGGACUCUCUCUUCGCUUUUCUUGUCUUGUAACCUGAAUGCUUUUUUACCCUGUGCUUACUAAACAGACUCUGCCUGCUUCUCUCUUUUUCAUUCUGAUUCCGCCAUGUGCUCUCUAUCUUUGCUCUUUUUUCUUAAUCUACACUGAUAUUGAAUAGUUUUAAUGCUUUUUUACCCCGUGCUUACCAAACAGGCUUUGCCUUUGUCAAUUUUCCUUUUAAACCUCGUUUUUUCUUAACCUACAUUGGUAUUAACUAGUUUUAAUGUGUUUUAUUUACUAGGGUUAAACCAAAAAAGCUACCUCGUUUUACAAAAAGACUGCAAAGGGUCUAAACCAAAAAAGUUGCCUCGUUUUACAAAAAGACUGCAAAGAUAUUGAUGACAGUAAAGAUGUGGAUCUGCCUCGCCUAUGCAAAAUAAUUGCAUUCCAUCUAAAAUCAACUCUUCAAAGGUUCAAGGACUAUUUCCCAUCAGACUCUGAUCCACAAAAAGGAAAACAAUGGGUUCAUGAUCCAUACUCCUCUCUAGAAACUGAGACCUCUUUGUCACUAUCACUGGAGGACAAGUUGCUGGAAAUGUCAAGUCAUGAGGGUCUGAAGUUACACUUUUAUUAAGUGACUCUAUCUGUUUUCUGGAUCAAAAUCAGGAGUGAAUACUCACAACUCAAUGAACAAGAUGUCAAAAUUUUGCUCAUGUUCCAUUCCACAUAUCUCUGCAAAACUGGAUUUUCAGUGAUGACUGCAACAAAAACAAAAUACAGCAACUGGCUGAGCAGUGGAAAGAUGCUCCAAGUGUCCUUGUCAAACAUUCAUCCCCGGAUUGAAAGAUUUGUGUCUUCAAGACAGGUAUAAACAUCUUGUUAUCAGUAUGGUGAGUGAAUCCAUCUGAUUGUUUAUUAUUAUUUUUUAAAACUAAAUCAAUUGAAUUAUCUCUAAUGUACAAAAUGAGGUAUACAGUUAUAGACAAAAUUAUUGGUAACCUGAUUUUUAAACAUUGUUUCAAAUGAAGGGUAACAUUUUUCAUAUCACAUAACUAGAUGAACUGUUGGUAAGCAAGUAAGAAGUAUCUUACAUGCAGAUAGUACAAAAAGGCAACUCCUGGCAAUACUGAAAAAACAGCAAUAAACACCAGUGAAACACUGUUUGCUUUUUGUUU